UGCGUAGGCGGAAUGAUAAGUUAGUGGUGAAAGCCCCCGGCUCAACCGGGGAACUGCCAUUAAUACUGUCAUUCUUGAGUAUAGUUGAAGUGGGCGGAAUGUAUCAUGUAGCGGUGAAAUGCUUAGAUAUGAUACAGAACACCGAUAGCGUAGGCAGCUUGCUAAACUAUAACUGACGCUCAGGCACGAAAGCGUGGGGAGCAAACAGGACUAGAUACCCUGGUAGUCC
This 229-nucleotide ribosomal RNA is filed under the name uncultured bacterium. RNAcentral describes it as "partial 16S ribosomal RNA". It matches the Rfam family "Bacterial small subunit ribosomal RNA", at positions 568 to 796 of the family's 1533-position model. The record is from RNAcentral.